This 433-nucleotide ribosomal RNA is filed under the name uncultured bacterium. Its description in RNAcentral is "partial 16S ribosomal RNA". It matches the Rfam family "Bacterial small subunit ribosomal RNA", at positions 29 to 507 of the family's 1533-position model. The record is from RNAcentral.
AACGAACGCUGGCGGCAUGCCUAACACAUGCAAGUCGAACGAGACCUUCGGGUCUAGUGGCGCACGGGUGCGUAACGCGUGGGAACCUGCCCUUAGGUUCGGAAUAACUCCCCGAAAGGGGUGCUAAUACCGGAUAAUGUCUUCGGACCAAAGAUUUAUCGCAUUUGGAUGGGCCCGCGUUGGAUUAGCUAGUUGGUAGGGUAAAAGCCUACCAAGGCGACGAUCCAUAGCUGGUCUGAGAGGAUGAUCAGCCACACUGGGACUGAGACACGGCCCAGACUCCUACGGGAGGCAGCAGUGGGGAAUGUUGGACAGUGGGCGAAAGCCUGAUCCAGCAAUGCCGCGUGAGUGAUGAAGGCCGUAGGGUUGUAAAGCUCUUUUACCCGGGAUGAUAAUGACAGUACCGGGAGAAUAAGCUCCGGCUAACUCCGUG